ACUUUCUCCUAGGCAUUUUAAUAACACUCCUUCGACCGUCUUUUUGAAUAAUUCAUCAUUUACCAAGACGUAGCUAAGGGCCCUAUACUUUAUCUUUCGAUUUGUCGACCCCACGGGAUUACGUAAGUAAUUGACUAGCGGUUUAUGCCACUCACUCCCCCCCCCGGUCGUCGAUAGCCAGAAUUUCAAAAUGAUUUUUAUCUACGGUUCCCAACUUCACGAUCGCCAAAUCCAAUGGUGACAACACUG
RNAcentral lists this long non-coding RNA (249 nucleotides) under Lathyrus oleraceus (garden pea). RNAcentral describes it as "Pisum sativum (pea) long non-coding RNA (PSAT_LNC012842)". Lineage: Eukaryota; Viridiplantae; Streptophyta; Magnoliopsida; Fabales; Fabaceae. The record is from RNAcentral.